AGUGAACGCUGGCGGUAGGCCUAACACAUGCAAGUCGAACGGCAGCACAGUAAGAGCUUGCUCUUACUGGUGGCGAGUGGCGGACGGGUGAGGAAUACAUCGGAAUCUACUUUUUCGUGGGGGAUAACGUAGGGAAACUUACGCUAAUACCGCAUACGACCUACGGGUGAAAGCAGGGGAUCUUCGGACCUUGCGCGAUUGAAUGAGCCGAUGUCGGAUUAGCUAGUUGGCGGGGUAAAGGCCCACCAAGGCGACGAUCCGUAGCUGGUCUGAGAGGAUGAUCAGCCACACUGGAACUGAGACACGGUCCAGACUCCUACGGGAGGCAGCAGUGGGGAAUAUUGGACAAUGGGCGCAAGCCUGAUCCAGCCAUACCGCGUGGGUGAAGAAGGCCUUCGGGUUGUAAAGCCCUUUUGUUGGGGAAGAAAAGCAGCAGGUUAAUACCCCGCUGUUCUGACGGUACCCAAAGAAUAAGCACCGGCUAACUUCGUG
RNAcentral lists this ribosomal RNA (492 nucleotides) under uncultured bacterium. Its description in RNAcentral is "partial 16S ribosomal RNA". It matches the Rfam family "Bacterial small subunit ribosomal RNA", at positions 29 to 507 of the family's 1533-position model. The record is from RNAcentral.